GGGGGGGGGGGGUACUAUACAUGCAAGUCGAGCGAACUGAUUAGAAGCUUGCUUCUAUGACGUUAGCGGCGGACGGGUGAGUAACACGUGGGCAACCUGCCUGUAAGACUGGGAUAACUUCGGGAAACCGAAGCUAAUACCGGAUAGGAUCUUCUCCUUCAUGGGAGAUGAUUGAAAGAUGGUUUCGGCUAUCACUUACAGAUGGGCCCGCGGUGCAUUAGCUAGUUGGUGAGGUAACGGCUCACCAAGGCAACGAUGCAUAGCCGACCUGAGAGGGUGAUCGGCCACACUGGGACUGAGACACGGCCCAGACUCCUACGGGAGGCAGCAGUAGGGAAUCUUCCGCAAUGGACGAAAGUCUGACGGAGCAACGCCGCGUGAGUGAUGAAGGCUUUCGGGUCGUAAAACUCUGUUGUUAGGGAAGAACAAGUACGAGAGUAACUGCUCGUACCUUGACGGUACCUAACCAGAAAGCCACGGCUAACUACGUGCCAGCAGCCGCGGUAAUACGUAGGUGGCAAGCGUUAUCCGGAAUUAUUGGGCGUAAAGCGCGCGCAGGCGGUUUCUUAAGUCUGAUGUGAAAGCCCACGGCUCAACCGUGGAGGGUCAUUGGAAACUGGGGAACUUGAGUGCAGAAGAGAAAAGCGGAAUUCCACGUGUAGCGGUGAAAUGCGUAGAGAUGUGGAGGAACACCAGUGGCGAAGGCGGCUUUUUGGUCUGUAACUGACGCUGAGGCGCGAAAGCGUGGGGAGCAAACAGGAUUAGAUACGGGGG
RNAcentral lists this ribosomal RNA (774 nucleotides) under Priestia megaterium. RNAcentral describes it as "bacterial SSU rRNA". It matches the Rfam family "Bacterial small subunit ribosomal RNA", at positions 35 to 793 of the family's 1533-position model. Lineage: Bacteria; Bacillati; Bacillota; Bacilli; Caryophanales; Bacillaceae. The record is from RNAcentral.